UCUGUAUAAAAUUGUUUAUUUGACCAUAUUUUUAUGAUGUUUUCGACUGCAGGAAGUAGUUGGAUUGUUCUUUGGAGGUCUACAUGCAGGUUCUCAGGACUGAAUGCUUGAGAAAUAGGAGAGCUCGUAUCCUACACAGAGAAGUAGCUCUUCGUUGUUACUUCCUCAGUGACCCAGCUCAGCUUCACUUACACUUCAGGCGUGGUUAUUUUCUUCUACUAGGGAAAGGGUUGUGCUCGGUUGAGGAAGAACGUGUUUAUUCAUGCCAUCCACCAGGUUAGAUCAAGGCUUUCUUGCACGUUUAACAAUCUAUCCACACACAGUAUGCUAUCUGAAAAUACACAGAAUAUGAAAAAGUGAAUGCAUAAGCGAAUUAGGAAAUAUGAUUACUGCAAACCAGUGAUGGAACUCGAUUGUGGAAGUAGAUGAUGCUCAACUACUAAGGUUUGAA
This is a long non-coding RNA of Diospyros lotus (date-plum), 451 nucleotides long. RefSeq lists it as uncharacterized. The record is from RefSeq and is a predicted model, not a curated record. The transcript has 3 exons. NCBI's taxonomy places the organism in Eukaryota, Viridiplantae, Streptophyta, Magnoliopsida, Ericales, Ebenaceae.